GGAGUGGCGUAGUGGUUUUGAGUGCUGGACUACAACUCUGGUGACCAGGGUUCAAUUCCCCACCUGGCCA
RNAcentral lists this transfer RNA (70 nucleotides) under Phrynosoma platyrhinos (Desert horned lizard). Its description in RNAcentral is "tRNA-OTHER". The record is from RNAcentral. Lineage: Eukaryota; Metazoa; Chordata; Lepidosauria; Squamata; Phrynosomatidae.